AGUAGGGGAUCGCAAGACCUUGCACUUUUGGAGCGGCCGAUGUCUGAUUAGCUAGUUGGUGAGGUAAAGGCUUACCAAGGCUUCGAUCAGUAGCUGGUCUGAGAGGACGACCAGCCACACUGGGACUGAGACACGGCCCAGACUCCUACGGGAGGCAGCAGUGGGGAAUUUUGGACAAUGGGGGAAACCCUGAUCCAGCCAUGCCGCGUGAGUGAAGAAGGCCUUCGGGUUGUAAAGCUCUUUCAGCCGGAACGAAACGGUCACGGCUAAUACCUGUGAUCACUGACGGUACCGGAAGAAGAAGCACCGGCUAACUACGUGCCAGCAGCCGCGGUAAUACGUAGGGUGCAAGCGUUAAUCGGAAUUACUGGGCGUAAAGCGUGCGCAGGCGGUUUUGUAAGUCAGAUGUGGAAUCCCCGGGCUUAACCUGGGAACUGCGUUUGAAACUACAAAGCUAG
Molecule: ribosomal RNA, 458 nt
Filed under: uncultured beta proteobacterium
Lineage: Bacteria; Pseudomonadati; Pseudomonadota; Betaproteobacteria
Description: bacterial SSU rRNA
Rfam family: Bacterial small subunit ribosomal RNA
Source: RNAcentral